This 253-nucleotide ribosomal RNA is filed under the name uncultured bacterium. RNAcentral describes it as "partial 16S ribosomal RNA". It matches the Rfam family "Bacterial small subunit ribosomal RNA", at positions 524 to 776 of the family's 1533-position model. The record is from RNAcentral.
UACGUAGGGACCAAGCGUUGUUCGGAUUUACUGGGCGUAAAGGGCGCGUAGGCGGCUUGACAAGUCACUUGUGAAAUCUCCGGGCUUAACUCGGAACGGCCAAGUGAAACUGUCAUGCUAGAGUGCAGAAGGGGCAAUCGGAAUUCUUGGUGUAGCGGUGAAAUGCGUAGAUAUCAAGAGGAACACCUGAGGUGAAGGCAGGUCACUGGGCAGUUACUGACACUGAGGCACGAAGGCCAGGGGAGCAAACGGG